Molecule: long non-coding RNA, 1425 nt
Organism: Cyprinus carpio carpio
Lineage: Eukaryota; Metazoa; Chordata; Actinopteri; Cypriniformes; Cyprinidae
Source: Ensembl
UAGAGCUGCCCUGAGUGAGCUGUCAUCAGUCCACCAUUGUUUCAAACGCCAGAGCUGGUGUUGACAAGAAUGUCUCCUACACUGUUAAAAAUUGCUGUUAAUUUACGUCAAAAUUUUAACAGUAUAAUCCUGUUAUGUUAAAAAACAGUGCAUUACUGUUUUUUACGGUUGGUGAAAUGACGUAGAUAAAAUUUAACGUUAUUUUACCGUAUUUAUUGCACAAAGGAAAGAAAACAGUACUUAACAGUAUUUUGGGAACAGAAAGCUGCAGCGAGCACAUGUGGAUUUUCAUCCGUCUUUAUAUUGUGAUUUAACUGGUGAGUACACCUUUGCCUCGCUCCUUUUACACAAAAUACACGUUUGCAAUUGCAAAUAACUGUGCAAAUAACUGUGAUAAUAGUGGAUGCUGAGAUUGUAACUUUUAUACGUCCAUUUCAGUGCUAAACCCGUCAACGUGUCAACGGCGUCAUAGAGUGGAGCUGGAUUGAUUCAGAUAUUCCCCGAUUACAAGGCGCUUCCUUGGAAUAAAUCCUGAAAAAGGCACCAAGGGUGGACAAGUCCUAUCAAAGCGGACAGGGAAGGUCGGCCACAAAAUGAAAUCAGUCAACACUCGGGUUGCCAGUCUACUUAAGAAACUAAUGGACUUAGAGUGAGACUUCAUAUAAGUGAACUCACUCAUCCACUGACAUACCACACACACACACACCAUACACAUACUUUCACACAUGACAAAAACAUGCUUUUCAUUUGUUAGUCGCACAAUUUUUUUAUAAUGUUAUGUAAAUGUUUUGUUUAUUCAGUUAAACGAAAGUUUAUUCUGAGGCUUACGUUUUAGUCAUUCCACUUGAAUCAGCCACUAAUUUUGAGAAUAUUUUGUGAUUAAAGUGGCUUUGGUUUUUCACAUUUUCAAGUUUUAAUAAAGCACUUUUUGAAGUUACACUGCAUUGUGUUAAAUUUUUAAUGUUUCAAAGGCUAUAUUUGUACAUUGUAUUAAAACAUGGUUUUAUAGCAAGACUUCUAAGGGGAAAUUUAUAAAAUCAAAAAAAAAUCUAGAAAAAUAAUUCCACCUUUUUUUCUUAACAGUCCAUUUCUCAAUAUAAUAACAUGUUUGUAGUUUACAGUUAAAAGUGAAAAAAAAACAUUAAUUAACUGUUGCUUUUGACAGUAAUUUACUGUUAAUGUAUAAAAUAACAGCUUUAUGCUGUAUUUCCAAAAACAGUAACAAACUGUAAAUUUCAACAACAGCAAGACACUGUUAAUUUAACAGUAACUUGCUGGCAACCGUGCUGCCAGUUACUUACCGUUUUUUAACGGGACAAUUUUUAACAGUGUAAGCGAUUGAGGUGUUUUGUUGCUGGAUGUAAUAAUGAUCAUAGCAGUCAUCAUUUACUCCCGACAUCUGAGCGCCUGAAGACGCAGUGGAUA